UAAUAAAUAUGCUAACGCUAUUGGCAGCUAUUGUAUCUAUUUAUGGAGCAAUUCUGAUGAAGAUCUCAAUCGCUUUUUGCGAUAGCGGGGAAUUAGGAGCUCAAGACGCUGAAACCCCCACACCUAUGAUGGGGGAUGAAGACGGUGAAACACCAACACCUAUGAUGUGGGAUUGGGAUGAAGACGAACCUGGCAUCCCUCGGCCGGAUAUGAAUUCCAUUAUAGAGGAUACCAGUGAACGGCUU
RNAcentral lists this long non-coding RNA (245 nucleotides) under Oryza brachyantha (malo sina). RNAcentral describes it as "long non-coding RNA (OBRA_LNC003637)". The record is from RNAcentral. Lineage: Eukaryota; Viridiplantae; Streptophyta; Magnoliopsida; Poales; Poaceae.